GGCGGCAUGGCCGAGUGGUAAGGCGGGGGACUGCAAAUCCUUUUUCCCCAGUUCAAAUCCGG
This 62-nucleotide transfer RNA is filed under the name Buxus microphylla. Its description in RNAcentral is "tRNA-Cys". It matches the Rfam family "tRNA", at positions 1 to 62 of the family's 71-position model. From Rfam's summary of the family: Transfer RNA (tRNA) molecules are approximately 80 nucleotides in length. Their secondary structure includes four short double-helical elements and three loops (D, anti-codon, and T loops). The record is from RNAcentral. Lineage: Eukaryota; Viridiplantae; Streptophyta; Magnoliopsida; Buxales; Buxaceae.